This 450-nucleotide ribosomal RNA is filed under the name uncultured bacterium. RNAcentral describes it as "partial 16S ribosomal RNA". It matches the Rfam family "Bacterial small subunit ribosomal RNA", at positions 354 to 796 of the family's 1533-position model. The record is from RNAcentral.
GUGGGGAAUUUUGGACAAUGGGCGAAAGCCUGAUCCAGCAAUGCCGCGUGUGUGAAGAAGGCCUUCGGGUUGUAAAGCACUUUUGUCCGGAAAGAAAUCCUUUGGGUUAAUACCUCGGAGGGAUGACGGUACCGGAAGAAUAAGGACCGGCUAACUACGUGCCAGCAGCCGCGGUAAUACGUAGGGUCCGAGCGUUAAUCGGAAUUACUGGGCGUAAAGCGUGCGCAGGCGGUUUUGUAAGACAGAUGUGAAAUCCCCGGGCUUAACCUGGGAAUUGCAUUUGUGACUGCAAGGCUAGAGUGUGUCAGAGGGGGGUAGAAUUCCACGUGUAGCAGUGAAAUGCGUAGAGAUGUGGAGGAAUACCGAUGGCGAAGGCAGCCCCCUGGGAUAACACUGACGCUCAUGCACGAAAGCGUGGGGAGCAAACAGGAUUAGAAACCCUUGUAGUCC